UUGCGGCUAUAUUUCUUUGAAACAUCGGUUCUCGUCCGAUCACCAAAGUUAAGCAACGUCCAUCCUGGUCAGUACUUACAUGAAUGACCACUUAGAAUAUCAGGUGUUGCAAG
Non-coding RNA from Acanthosepion pharaonis, 113 nucleotides. The record is from the annotation of a GenBank genome assembly. Lineage: Eukaryota; Metazoa; Mollusca; Cephalopoda; Sepiida; Sepiidae.